GUAUAUAGCGGGUCGGGUCCGUAUCCAUCCCCCCCUGCUCAUCCCCACAGUCCUGUCCCCGUCCACUCCGCCGCCGCCGCCGCCGCCGCCGCGAAUUCCGCCGGCGUCCGCCCCCGCGCGCGUGCUCUGCGCCCCCGCGGACUCCAGCGCCUCCGGAUCGGAGCCCCUGAACAUGGCGGCCGCCGCGCUCAGGGUUCAGCUCGAGGCGCUCCUCGAGAACAUGUUCGCCACGGGUAUGGUGGACGAGCAGUUCCGGCAGCUGCAGUUGCUGCAGGAGGAGGGGGGCAGCGCGUCGGGCUUCGUCGCCGAGGUCGCCACCCUCUUCAUCGACGACGCCGACCGGAUCAUCGCCGACAUCGGGAGCCUGCUGGACCAGCCCGUGGUGGAUUUCGACAAGGUGGACGCCCACGUGCACCAGCUCAAGGGGAGCAGCUCGAGUGUUGGUGCUCAGAAAGUGAAGCUCGCCUGCAUGCACUUCCGCCAGUUCUAUGAGGCAAAAAGCAAAGAAGGGUGCCUCAUGGCGUUGGCUCUUGUUAGGAGUGAGUUCUGUGAUGUGCGCAACAAGUUCCAGACCAUGAUGCAGCUGGAGCAGCAGAUCGAGGCCUGCAGUCCCAAGUAGAGUAGCAGUCACUGAAGCAAAAGGAGCUUAGCUCCGUGUGACCCCCGUGUAUGUAUCUCUUAUGCUUGUAGGCAGUGUAACGGGUGUCGGGGGCUCUGGAAGGCGUGUGUGCGGAACCGGACCGACCGAUUCCCACGUCGGAGCUCCGGACUCGUGACCCUUUGAAACGCAACUUGCUUGCCCUGUGUCAAUGUACGUGUCAACGCUAUGCUUGUUUGUGUCGUGUCCGCCCCCAGGCUGCGUGUAAACUCUUACCUUGUUGUUGUAUGUUGUUGGGGUCC
Triticum urartu is the source of this 900-nucleotide non-coding RNA. Lineage: Eukaryota; Viridiplantae; Streptophyta; Magnoliopsida; Poales; Poaceae. The record is from RefSeq and is a predicted model, not a curated record.